GGCGAGAUAGCUCAGCUGGCUAGAGCAUCGGAUUCAUAACCCGAAGGUCGGGGGUUCAAGUCCCCCUCUCGCUA
This 74-nucleotide transfer RNA is filed under the name Amoebophilaceae bacterium. RNAcentral describes it as "tRNA-Met". It matches the Rfam family "tRNA". Rfam says of the family: Transfer RNA (tRNA) molecules are approximately 80 nucleotides in length. Their secondary structure includes four short double-helical elements and three loops (D, anti-codon, and T loops). Further hydrogen bonds mediate the characteristic L-shaped molecular structure. tRNAs have two regions of fundamental functional importance: the anti-codon, which is responsible for specific mRNA codon recognition, and the 3' end, to which the tRNAs corresponding amino acid is attached (by aminoacyl-tRNA synthetases). tRNAs cope with the degeneracy of the genetic code in two manners: having more than one tRNA (with a specific anti-codon) for a particular amino acid; and 'wobble' base-pairing, i.e. permitting non-standard base-pairing at the 3rd anti-codon position. The record is from RNAcentral. Lineage: Bacteria; Pseudomonadati; Bacteroidota; Cytophagia; Cytophagales; Amoebophilaceae.